UACGUAGGGGGCUAGCGUUGAUCGGAAUUAUUGGGCGUAAAGAGCGCGUAGGCGGCUCGGUAAGUCCGCUGUAAAAGUCAAAGGCUCAACCUUUGAAUGUCAGUGGAUACUGCCGGGCUAGAGUCCGGAAGAGGCGAGUGGAACUCCUGGUGUAGCGGUGGAAUGCGCAGAUAUCAGGAAGAACACCAACGGCGAAGGCAGCUCGCUGGGACGGUACUGACGCUGAGACACGAAAGCGUGGGGAGCGAACAGG
RNAcentral lists this ribosomal RNA (253 nucleotides) under uncultured bacterium. Its description in RNAcentral is "partial 16S ribosomal RNA". It matches the Rfam family "Bacterial small subunit ribosomal RNA", at positions 524 to 776 of the family's 1533-position model. The record is from RNAcentral.